RNAcentral lists this ribosomal RNA (503 nucleotides) under uncultured bacterium. Its description in RNAcentral is "partial 16S ribosomal RNA". It matches the Rfam family "Bacterial small subunit ribosomal RNA", at positions 28 to 507 of the family's 1533-position model. The record is from RNAcentral.
GACGAACGCUGGCGGCGUGCUUAACACAUACAAGUCGAACGGUGAAGCGCUUUCCUUUUUGGUUGGUGUGGAUGAGUGGCGAACGGGUGAGUAACACGUGAGUAACCUGCCCCCUUCUUCUGGAUAACCGCAUGAAAGUGUGGCUAAUACGGGAUAUUCUGCGCCUGCUGCAUGGUGGGUGUGGGAAAGAUUGUGCCUUUGGGUGUUUUCGGUGGGGGAUGGGCUCGCGGCCUAUCAGCUUGUUGGUGGGGUGAUGGCCUACCAAGGCGGUGACGGGUAGCCGGCCUGAGAGGGUGGACGGUCACACUGGGACUGAGACACGGCCCAGACUCCUACGGGAGGCAGCAGUGGGGAAUAUUGCACAAUGGGCGCAAGCCUGAUGCAGCGACGCCGCGUGAGGGAUGGAGGCCUUCGGGUUGUGAACCUCUUUCGCCAGUGAAGCAGGCCUGCUCCUUGUGGGUGGGUUGACGGUAGCUGGAGAAGAAGCGCCGGCUAACUACGUG